UACAGAGGUCCCAAGCGUUGUUCGGAUUCACUGGGCGUAAAGGGUGCGUAGGUGGUUGGGUAAGUUUGAUGUGAAAUCUCUGAGCUCAACUCAGAAACUGCAUUGAAUACUAUCUGGCUAGAGAAUCGGAGGGGGGACUGGAAUACUUGGUGUAGCAGUGAAAUGCGUAGAUAUCAAGUGGAACACCAGUGGCGAAGGCGAGUCCCUGGACGAUUUCUGACACUGAGGCACGAAAGCUAGGGGAGCAAACAGG
RNAcentral lists this ribosomal RNA (253 nucleotides) under uncultured bacterium. Its description in RNAcentral is "partial 16S ribosomal RNA". It matches the Rfam family "Bacterial small subunit ribosomal RNA", at positions 524 to 776 of the family's 1533-position model. The record is from RNAcentral.